UCACCAGGUUGAUUCUGCCUGACAUGGAUGCUAUCUAAUGAGAUUAGCCAUGCAUGUUUUAUGAGAGUUAUAUACUCGAAUGACGGACGGCUCAGUAAUACUUGUAUUAUCUAAAGUGUCGAUGUAUAAACCACGGGAAUCUGUGGGUUAAAGAUACUGUGAGUACAAGACCUAUCAGUUUUAUUGUACGGUAAUGGCGUACGAUGACUACGACGGGUGACGGAUAAUGAGAGUUAUAUUCCGGAGAGGGAGCCUGAGAGAUGGCUACUACGUCUAAGGAUGGCAGCAGGCGCGAAACUUGUCCAAUGUGAUAGUGAGACAGUUAUUUAGAUUGAGUGGUUUUGUGAUUAUAAAAAGAUUACAAAGAUGUACUGGAGGGCAAGUCGGGUGCCAGCAGCCGCGGUAAUACCUGUUCCAGUAGUGUGUGUGGAUGAUGUUGCGGUUAAAAUGUCUGUGGCGUAUUGUGAUUAGGAGCUGAAGGAGGACGAAGUAUGGUUGGGAGAGAGGUGAAAUGUCAUGACCCUGAUUGGACUGUCUGAGGCGAAGGCGUCGUUCUUGUAAGUGUCUGAUUGUGAAAGACGAAGGCUGGAGGAUCGAGAUUGAUUAGAUACCUUUUUAGUUCUAGCAGUAAACUAUGGUGACUAUGCGAUAUCUGUGAGUAUUGUAUAAAUGAAAGUGUAAGUUUUCGACCUGUGGGGAUAGUAUGCUGGCAAGAGUGAAAGUUAAAUGAAAUUGACGGAAGGACACCACCAUUAGUGGAGAGUGCGGCUUAAUUUGAUUCAACGCGGGGCAACUUACCAUUAUGUAGAUGAAGUGUAGAUAAGAGAUCAUUGUGAGUGGUGCAUGGCCGUUUCAAAUGGAUGAUGUGAGUUUGAGCUUAAUUGCUUUAAGAUGUGAUUUUCACGUAGGACGGGUAUUAGAAGUACAGGGGGGAGUGUGAUAAGACAGGUCCGUGAUGCCCUUUUGUAAUAUGGGCUGCACGCGCGCUACUAUAUGGGUGAUUGUGAUGAGAGUGUUUAGCCCUUGUGUGGGAUAGAUGCUUGUAAAUGCGUCUUGAACGUGGAAUUGAAAGUAAUUGUGAUUCACCAAGUGAUGAUGAACAAGUCCCUGUUCUUUGUACACACCGCCCGUCGCUAUCUAAGAUUAUGGAUGUCGAAUGUUUAAA
This 1165-nucleotide ribosomal RNA is filed under the name Heterovesicula cowani. RNAcentral describes it as "SSU rRNA". It matches the Rfam family "Microsporidia small subunit ribosomal RNA". The record is from RNAcentral. Lineage: Eukaryota; Fungi; Microsporidia; Heterovesiculidae.